UAUAGGUUGCUCCUAUUGUGUUGACGUCCCAUUUACCUUUAAAAUAGCAUCCCCUAUCUUUUUCAGUUAUGCCAAUUAGCUCACAAAUAGUGCUGUCAAAUAUUCUAAUGGGUGUUCCUAGAAGGUAAGUGCUUAGGCUAUCGUUGUCCUCAUAUAGGUUGGCAUAGAAAAAUCUAACUAACCGCGGAUAGAUUGGUUCAUCUAUUUGUAGUAGAGGUAGAGCUUCUAGGUAUGCAAACCACUUAAUGGGUUCUAAGUCCUCUAGUUCAUCCAGAUCAAC
This 280-nucleotide long non-coding RNA is filed under the name Musa acuminata (dwarf banana). Its description in RNAcentral is "long non-coding RNA (MACU_LNC010767)". The record is from RNAcentral. Lineage: Eukaryota; Viridiplantae; Streptophyta; Magnoliopsida; Zingiberales; Musaceae.